AACAUGAAGGGAUAUUUAGAUCUCUUUCAACUUUGAAAUUCAGAAAGAGGAAAAUAUUUGCAUUUAAAGAUUGUUCAACCCUACGACCCAGCAAUUGCACUGCUGGGUAUUUACCUCAAAGAUACAGAUGUAGUGAAAUGCCAGGACACCUGCACCCCAAUGUGCAUAGCAGCAAUGUAGCCAAACUGUGGCCAAACUGUGGAAGGAGCCUCGAUGUCCUUCAACAGAUGAAUGGAUAAAGAAGAUGUGGUUUAUGUAUACAAUGGGAUAUUCCUCAGCCAUCAGAAAGGAUGAAUACCCACCAUUUGCUUUGACGUGGAUGGAACUGGAGGGUAUUAUGCUGAGUGAAAGCCAGGCCAUAUGCCACCAUGAGACACAAGACUCCAUCAGCCACCUGUGAAGGAGUUUCUGCCUAGAAGGAGGGACAGGAGGAGGAUGCACCCCAAGCCGGACCUCACGGCAUCUACCCCAGGAGCUCUCCAGGUGUGGCCAGGGAUUGAAACCAACUUCCUGGCCAACUCUUCUAAGAUGUGUGUGCAGAGCUGAGCAGCCACAGCCCUGCUGUGGGGAGAAGCUGACCCUCAAGGCGAGGACAGAGAGCGGACACCUGCAGGGGUCCCACCCAGUGUCGCACCUUCACCCCUACACCUCUGACAUCAUCCCCACCUCUGUCUCCCUGAACUUGGAUUCCUUGGCUAACCCAUCCCACUUUUGUUCUAAGUUCAUUGGAGGUGGUUUGUGACAUUUGCAGCAUAGAGGGUCCUGAUUAUUAUAGUCUCUACAGAAUAAGAUCCUAACUCUGUGGCAGCUCCUGGUGAAUAGCUGCUGGCCAGGCUCCUCCCUCUCCCUCUCACUGCUGCCUCUCCCUAGGGCAGGAAUGCUCCAGGCCCCAGGGAGGGCAGGAGGUGGGAGGCAGGGGUCUUCUUUCACCACUGAGUCUCCAAACAGGCCUCCCAGCAGAACUGCCACCCUCAGCUGUGCACCCACCAGGACUUUCCUACUUGUGACUUGGCUCAAGUUCCCCACACAGAGGCUGAACCUCCCUCCUCUGAGCUUCCCUGGUCACAUGGGUGUGCAUGCAUCUCUCAACCCCGGGCUGCUCAAGGCCAAGUCCUGUGUAGUCCCCAGCUCUGCAUUCUCAAACCCGCUGGGCUGCCCAGUGCUUGUGGUUCAGGUAAUCAGCUAGAGGAGUCUGCGUGGCUCCCAGCUUGUCCUCAGUGGUUCAGCCCUCAGCUCUCUGGAAUCCAGUAGUGCUCGCAGAGGUGCAGCCUACAGACGGGACCUAAAACUUCUCAUACACCGCAACGGGGACAUUGCAACCGACUGGGUGACGAGAGCCCUUGAUUCAAAGACUGCGUAACGCUCAGCGUUGCGCGGGAAAAGUGGACCUGCCCGGAGAGAUACGGAUCACACGUGAAAGAAAAGUUCUUUUGUUGAAGUUUUCCCAAACGGACAAGAAUCCUAAAAAUCCACAUGACUAACGUUAACUGGUUGUGAAGCCGAAGCUCCCCUGAACUUCAGUAAUAAAACCAGUAUUUGGUCAAUCAUGCCAGAGAAAAGAAUGACUUUCCUAUUGUCCCCAUAGAAGAUUACACUGCAGAGUCAUUUUAGGUGAAGAGGCAGAGACAGCCAGGAAACAGAGGGAGCCAAGGACUUAGGGAUGCCUCACGUGAGCAGUUCGUGGAAUUACUGCGUUCUUCUGGAUUUUGUGAUAUUCGUGGUACUGCCCAGCUUCUUAAAAUUUGCAAUGUGUUCUAAAUAAAUACUCACUUUAAUUUUG
Canis lupus familiaris (dog) is the source of this 1780-nucleotide long non-coding RNA. RefSeq lists it as uncharacterized. Lineage: Eukaryota; Metazoa; Chordata; Mammalia; Carnivora; Canidae. The record is from RefSeq and is a predicted model, not a curated record. The transcript has 3 exons.